RNAcentral lists this long non-coding RNA (791 nucleotides) under Populus tremula. Its description in RNAcentral is "long non-coding RNA (PTRE_LNC001426)". The record is from RNAcentral. Lineage: Eukaryota; Viridiplantae; Streptophyta; Magnoliopsida; Malpighiales; Salicaceae.
CUCUUAUCUACAGGCAUUUUAGAACAGCUUCCUCUCUCAGUAACAGCCUGCAUCCAUUCCCGACUCUCUAUACUAUGAAGAGUGAUGUUAUUCGUAUCCGUUUCAAAUGCUUGAACUGCUGGCUCUAUUCCCAAUCCAGUCACAGGUGCAUCGGGCAUAAGCAUGCUAGGAACCAUGGUCUCCUCAGGAAGCACAAUAUUCUCUUCCCAAAACUCAAAAUCCCUCAUUGAUGAGGAUGAGAUGUUAUUCAUCUGGUGUGCUUGCUCUGUUCGUUGUCUAGUCUCGGGUUCAUCUGGCAUAAGAACGACAGGAGCUCUAUGAAGAGUGAUGUUAUUCGUAUCCGUUUCAAAUGCUUGAACUGCUGGCUCUAUUCCCAAUCCAGUCACAGGUGCAUCGGGCAUAAGCAUGCUAGGAACCAUGGUCUCCUCAGACAGGAAAAACUCUCCCCCAGUUAUCCCAUCCAUCCAUGACAGUCCAUCAUCCAAAAGAGAUUGUCCUUGUUGUUGCAUUUCUAAAUCUUGCGCAGGAUCUGAAUCUGCACUUGGCAUGCUCCCACGCAUUCUGCCAGGAAGCUUAUCAAACGCUGCUCGUUGAACAUCUGGAGUUACUUUUUCACAAAUUUUAACACCACCACCUCCAACUCUUGCCAGAUGAUAUUUCAUCCUUGUAGUGGAAGUACUUCCAGCCAAUGUCUUCUCACAAAAAAUGCACUUCAAUAAACCACCAUCCACUUUCUCAAAAUAACUCUGAAAUGGAUCACUUCCUCCAGCCAUUUUUUCUUCUGUGUCCCU